CCUACGGGUGGCAGCAGUGGGGAAUAUUGGGCAAUGGGCGCAAGCCUGACCCAGCAACGCCGCGUGAAGGAAGAAGGCUUUCGGGUUGUAAACUUCUUUUCUCAGGGACGAAGAAAGUGACGGUACCUGAGGAAUAAGCUACGGCUAACUACGUGCCAGCAGCCGCGGUAAUACGUAGGGGGCAAGCGUUAUCCGGAAUUCUUGGGGGUAAAGGGCGUGUAGGUGGGAGCUCAAGUCAGAGGGGAAAACGCAGGGCUCAACCCUGAGCGUGCAUUUGAAACUGUGUGUCUUGAGUGCUGGAGAGGCAAGUGGAAUUCCGUGUGUAGCGGUGAAAUGCGUAGAUAUACGGAGGAACACCAGUGGCGAAGGCGGAUUGCUGGACAGUAACUGACGCUGAGGCGCGAAAGCGUGGGGAGCAAACAGGAUUAGAUACCCCUGUAGUC
This 443-nucleotide ribosomal RNA is filed under the name uncultured bacterium. RNAcentral describes it as "partial 16S ribosomal RNA". It matches the Rfam family "Bacterial small subunit ribosomal RNA", at positions 338 to 795 of the family's 1533-position model. The record is from RNAcentral.